Astatotilapia calliptera (eastern happy) is the source of this 1503-nucleotide long non-coding RNA. NCBI's taxonomy places the organism in Eukaryota, Metazoa, Chordata, Actinopteri, Cichliformes, Cichlidae. The record is from Ensembl.
UGAGAAAGCGACUUAAAGCGGGGUGAACGGUCUGAUGAAUUCAGACAAAAUCAGUCAUCAUUCAAACAUUAGCAUCAUCAGGUCUACAGUGCAACAUGAAGACUCAGCCUGACGGUGGGACUGCUGCUCGUGGUGUUUGCAGUUUAGCACAGCGAUGCCUAGUGAGAUAGCCAUGAUGUCAGCGUCACUGAUGUGUAUUGUCAUGAAGACCAAUGUUGAUCUCAAGUGAGCUGGCGAUCGUGGCUCAAGAUUUGGCAGUUCGCCUUGUAAUCAGAAGGUUGCUGGUUCGAGCCCCGGCUUGGACAGUCUCGGUCGUUGUGUCCUUGGGCAAGACACUUCACCUACUACCUACUGUUUCUUAGAAUUCGUUUGAUGAGAACGUGGCUUGAAGCGUGGUCAUUGGACCGAUCACUUCAGACACGUCAUCAUCAGGUCUACAGUGAAGUCAGCAUGAAGACUCUCAGCCUGACAGUGGGACUGCUGCUCGUGAUGUUCAGUUUACCACAGUGAUGUCUGCAAGUCUGCUACUUGUACUUGUGUUAGAUCAGUUUUUGAAUUUCUGUCUUUCUCUUCAUUCAGACACAGAGUGAGACAGAGCGAGGACAUCAAACUCAUAUAAGUUCAUGGUCAUGAAGACCAAUGCUGAUCUCAAGUGGGCUGGAAGUUCUUCACUCUAACGCAGUGAAAUCACCUGCCCUCUGCUCGUUUCACUUCUUUGACAAACGGAUCCCAAAGGUGCACACUUGAAGUUGCUUUGUAAACUACAAGUGUUGGUGGAUCAGCAGGUAGCUGAUCAGCUGCAUUGUUGUCUCUCUCUCACUCGCCGGGGCGGAAAUUAUUGUGGGUCAAUGCCCUCGGCCCACUCACCUGUGAAGUGGAAACACCUGAUUCUCACUGAUGCUACCAGCAUUUAAGCAGAGGGAUGGCAGCCAUUCAUCGCUGGAUUGUUGCAUGACUCACGUUAGCGUAUCUCCGCUCUCGUAGUAUUAGACUCCGAAGGCUAUACCUGUGCCUUCGUUCUAACGUGUUCACUCUGUGUUUAGAUCCCGUGGACCCGUCCCUGAUUUCCUGGUGAAGAUCCCUAGUCAUGGACUGUGUUGGGGAGUAACAGAAUACAUGUACCGUCGUUACAUAUUUAAAAUACAAAAUGUGAGUAACUGUAUUCAGUUAGUUACCGUUUAAAAGGGUGGUAUUCAGAAUACAGUUACUUAAAUUCGCUGAUGACACGACCGUGGUGGGUCUCAUUAGCAAGAACGACGAGUCAGCGUACAGAGAGGAAGUGCAGAGACUAACGGACUGGUGUAAGGACAACAACCUGUCUCUGAAUGUUGACAAGACAAAAGAGAUGGUUGUUGACUUUAGGAGGACACGAGGCGACCACUCACCGCUGAGCAUCAACGGCUCCUCUGUGGAGAUCGUUGACAGCACCAAAUUCCUGGGCGUACACCUGGAGAAGGACCUCGGCUGGUCCCUCAACACCAGCUCCCUGCACAAGAAAGCCCA